UGGGGAAUUUUGGACAAUGGGCGCAAGCCUGAUCCAGCCAUGCCGCGUGAGGGAAGAAGGCCUUCGGGUUGUAAACCGCUUUUGUCAGGGAAGAAAUCUUCUGAGUUAAUACCUCGGGAGGAUGACGGUACCUGAAGAAUAAGCACCGGCUAACUACGUGCCAGCAGCCGCGGUAAUACGUAGGGUGCAAGCGUUAAUCGGAAUUACUGGGCGUAAAGCGUGCGCAGGCGGUUUUGUAAGACAGAGGUGAAAUCCCCGGGCUCAACCUGGGAACUGCCUUUGUGACUGCAAGGCUUGAGUGCGGCAGAGGGGGAUGGAAUUCCGCGUGUAGCAGUGAAAUGCGUAGAUAUGCGGAGGAACACCGAUGGCGAAGGCAAUCCCCUGGGCCUGCACUGACGCUCAUGCACGAAAGCGUGGGGAGCAAACAGGAUUAGAUACCCUGGUAGUCCACGCCCUAAACGAUGUCAACUGGUUGUUGGGAAGGUUCCUUCUCAGUAACGUAGCUAACGCGUGAAGUUGACCGCCUGGGGAGUACGGCCGCAA
RNAcentral lists this ribosomal RNA (543 nucleotides) under uncultured bacterium. RNAcentral's name for it is "partial 16S ribosomal RNA". It matches the Rfam family "Bacterial small subunit ribosomal RNA", at positions 355 to 891 of the family's 1533-position model. The record is from RNAcentral.